Molecule: ribosomal RNA, 340 nt
Filed under: uncultured bacterium
Lineage: Bacteria
Description: bacterial SSU rRNA
Rfam family: Bacterial small subunit ribosomal RNA
Source: RNAcentral
ACUCCUACGGGAGGCAGCAGUGGGAAUAUUGCACAAUGGGCGCAAGCCUGAUGCAGCCAUGCCGCGUGUGUGAAGAAGGCCUUCGGGUUUGAUAAGCACUUUUCAGUCGUGAGGGAAGGUAGUGUAGUUAAUAGCUGCAUUAUUUGACGUUAGCGACAGAAGAAGCACCGGCUAACUCCGUGCCAGCAGCCGCGGUAAUACGGAGGGUGCGAGCGUUAAUCGGAAUUACUGGGCGUAAAGCGCAUGCAGGUGGUUUGUUAAGUCAGAUGUGAAAGCCCGGGGCUCAACCUCGGAAUUGCAUUUGAAACUGGCAGACUAGAGUACUGUAGAGGGGGGUGAG